This 474-nucleotide ribosomal RNA is filed under the name Bacillus pumilus. Its description in RNAcentral is "bacterial SSU rRNA". It matches the Rfam family "Bacterial small subunit ribosomal RNA", at positions 58 to 515 of the family's 1533-position model. The record is from RNAcentral. Lineage: Bacteria; Bacillati; Bacillota; Bacilli; Caryophanales; Bacillaceae.
CAAGUCGAGCGGACAGAAGGGAGCUUGCUCCCGGAUGUUAGCGGCGGACGGGUGAGUAACACGUGGGUAACCUGCCUGUAAGACUGGGAUAACUCCGGGAAACCGGAGCUAAUACCGGAUAGUUCCUUGAACCGCAUGGUUCAAGGAUGAAAGACGGUUUCGGCUGUCACUUACAGAUGGACCCGCGGCGCAUUAGCUAGUUGGUGGGGUAAUGGCUCACCAAGGCGACGAUGCGUAGCCGACCUGAGAGGGUGAUCGGCCACACUGGGACUGAGACACGGCCCAGACUCCUACGGGAGGCAGCAGUAGGGAAUCUUCCGCAAUGGACGAAAGUCUGACGGAGCAACGCCGCGUGAGUGAUGAAGGUUUUCGGAUCGUAAAGCUCUGUUGUUAGGGAAGAACAAGUGCGAGAGUAACUGCUCGCACCUUGACGGUACCUAACCAGAAAGCCACGGCUAACUACGUGCCAGCAGC